RNAcentral lists this ribosomal RNA (253 nucleotides) under uncultured bacterium. RNAcentral's name for it is "partial 16S ribosomal RNA". It matches the Rfam family "Bacterial small subunit ribosomal RNA", at positions 524 to 776 of the family's 1533-position model. The record is from RNAcentral.
UACGAAGGGUGCAAACGUUGCUCGGAAUUAUUGGGCGUAAAGCGCACGUAGGCGGCUUUGCAAGUCGGAUGUGAAAUCCCUCGGCUCAACCAAGGAAGUGCAUCCGAAACUGCAGAGCUUGAGUACUUAAGAGGAUCGCGGAAUUCCCGGUGUAGAGGUGAAAUUCGUAGAGAUCGGGAGGAACAUCAGUGGCGAAGGCGGCCUUCUGGACCAGUACUGACGCUGAGGCACGAAAGCGUGGGGAGCAAACAGG